AGCGUUAUCCGGAAUUAUUGGGCGUAAAGCGCGCGUAGGCGGUUUUUUAAGUCUGAUGUGAAAGCCCCACGGCUCAACCGUGGAGGGUCAUUGGAAACUGGAAAACUUGAGUGCAGAAGAGGAAAGUGGAAUUCCCAUGUGUAGCGGUGAAAUGCGCAGAGAUAUGGAGGAACACCAGUGGCGAAGGCGACUUUCUGGUCUGUAACUGACGCUGAUGUGCGAAAGCGUGGGGAUCAAACAGGAUUAGAUACCCUGGUAGUCCCACGCCGUAAACGAUGAGUGCUAAGUGUUAGGGGGUUUCCGCCCCUUAGUGCUGCAGCUAACGCAUUAAGCACUCCGCCUGGGGAGUACGACCGCAAGGUUGAAACUCAAAGGAAUUGACGGGGACCCGCACAAGCGGUGGAGCAUGUGGUUUAAUUCGAAGCAACGCGAAGAACCUUACCAAAUCUUGACAUCCUUUGACAACUCUAGAGAUAGAGCCUUCCCCUUCGGGGGACAAAGUGACAGGUGGUGCAUGGUUGUCGUCAGCUCGUGUCGUGAGAUGUUGGGUUAAGUCCCGCAACGAGCGCAACCCUUAAGCUUAGUUGCCAUCAUUAAGUUGGGCACUCUAAGUUGACUGCCGGUGACAAACCGGAGGAAGGUGGGGAUGACGUCAAAUCAUCAUGCCCCUUAUGAUUUGGGCUACACACGUGCUACAAUGGACAAUACAAAGGGCAGCGAAACCGCGAGGUCAAGCAAAUCCCAUAAAGUUGUUCUCAGUUCGGAUUGUAGUCUGCAACUCGACUACAUGAAGCUGGAAUCGCUAGUAAUCGUAGAUCAGCAUGCUACGGUGAAUACGUUCCCGGGUCUUGUACACACCGCCCGUCACACCACGAGAGUUUGUAACACCCGAAGCCGGUGGAGUAACCUUUUAGGAGCUAGC
RNAcentral lists this ribosomal RNA (922 nucleotides) under Staphylococcus aureus. RNAcentral's name for it is "bacterial SSU rRNA". It matches the Rfam family "Bacterial small subunit ribosomal RNA", at positions 537 to 1453 of the family's 1533-position model. The record is from RNAcentral. Lineage: Bacteria; Bacillati; Bacillota; Bacilli; Caryophanales; Staphylococcaceae.